AACUCAAAAUAUCGUUUACACAAGUUUCAUGGUUGUCAUUGGGAGAUUUACUUGAAUUUUUUAGAGGACUAAAUGAAGUCCUACGUGGUACCUGGAAACAUCCAAAAUUUUCAACUGACACACUGGGAAACAAAUCGAAAAUAAAACUCUCAAGUUUAUAUCCAUUGGGAUUUAAAGGUGUAGUAUAAUGAUGAGACGUUACGUCGUAAAAUGGAAUUUUCUUGCAUGCAAGGUGAAUAGGAAGGGUACUUGAGUGCAAAGAAGCUUUCUGUAAGAAAUCAAAAGAGAAAUAAUGGUAUGCAAUGUUAGCCGCACGAAGCAGCAAAUGCUUGUGACCAUCAACAUUUUCUGUAGCUUUGCAUGCUUCGUCAGAAAUUUCAGAGUACUCUACAACACAAGGAUGAUUAUGGGAAGAUACAAGGAGACCCACUUUUUCAGCAGGAUCGAUUUUUUCAACAGUUUUAGUGGCAACCUCAAGUUUUUUAGUAGUAGCCAUUCCUAUGAAUACAGGAUCAACCGGCAAAACAAGAACAUUGUCAACGCUAUAAGCCGUAAUAUGGAGUAUACCUCUUCUAUUCAUAUCAUUCAAUGCACCAGAGGAAAGCAAAGCUUCAUAAAUACCUCCAUUGCCGUUAGGAGCCCAAGCUAAUGAAGAAUCAGAUUCAAAAAGGACCCUACCUGAGAUAUCUAGACAAGGUAAAACUCCUUGCUGGAAGAAAAAAACGUCUUUCUUAUCAAUACCAAAGAAAUCAUUCUCCUUAAAAAAAGAAAUUGUCUCCUCUGACGUACAUUCAGAAACCAUUAUAUACCAUGGAAUGCUUAUAGAGGCUUCUUGAUCGGGAAAUGCGGCUCUGGCGAGCGCCAACGAUUUCUUAAUUUUUUGUGCCUGCAGCUCAAAGAUGCUCGGAUUAUUAGGCAGCCCAAGUCUAAAGCAACCUUUUGGACCAGCAAACCCAAGUCGAGUGCCUUGACCUCCUGCCAAUACUAAGGCAGCUACAUGACCUCUAGCAAUUUCCCGAAGACCUGUUCUCCACCAACUUGAGUCAGACGUAUCUACAAUAGAUAGUGGACCAACUUCUGAAGGGGACAAUUUUCUGUUCUCUUGGCUUGUCGCUUUAGCAUUUCGAUACUUCAACCACAAUGACCG
Schizosaccharomyces pombe (fission yeast) is the source of this 1147-nucleotide non-coding RNA. NCBI's taxonomy places the organism in Eukaryota, Fungi, Ascomycota, Schizosaccharomycetes, Schizosaccharomycetales, Schizosaccharomycetaceae. The record is from the annotation of a GenBank genome assembly.